Molecule: transfer RNA, 77 nt
Filed under: Candidatus Thiodiazotropha endolucinida
Lineage: Bacteria; Pseudomonadati; Pseudomonadota; Gammaproteobacteria; Chromatiales; Sedimenticolaceae
Also listed under: 2 other names
Description: tRNA-Ile
Rfam family: tRNA
About the family: Transfer RNA (tRNA) molecules are approximately 80 nucleotides in length. Their secondary structure includes four short double-helical elements and three loops (D, anti-codon, and T loops). Further hydrogen bonds mediate the characteristic L-shaped molecular structure. tRNAs have two regions of fundamental functional importance: the anti-codon, which is responsible for specific mRNA codon recognition, and the 3' end, to which the tRNAs corresponding amino acid is attached (by aminoacyl-tRNA synthetases). tRNAs cope with the degeneracy of the genetic code in two manners: having more than one tRNA (with a specific anti-codon) for a particular amino acid; and 'wobble' base-pairing, i.e. permitting non-standard base-pairing at the 3rd anti-codon position.
Source: RNAcentral
CGCUUCGUAGCUCAGCCAGGCAGAGCAGACGACCGAUAAUCGUCAGGUCAGUGGUUCAAAUCCACUCGAAGCGACCA